Molecule: ribosomal RNA, 253 nt
Filed under: uncultured bacterium
Lineage: Bacteria
Description: partial 16S ribosomal RNA
Rfam family: Bacterial small subunit ribosomal RNA
Source: RNAcentral
UACGUAGGGGGCGAGCGUUGUCCGGAAUUAUUGGGCGUAAAGCGCGUGUAGGCGGCUUUGCAAGUCGGGUGUGAAAGCCCUCAGCUCAACUGAGGAAGUGCGCCCGAAACUGCAGAGCUUGAGUGCCGGAGAGGGUGGCGGAAUUCCCCAAGUAGAGGUGAAAUUCGUAGAUAUGGGGAGGAACACCGGUGGCGAAGGCGGCCACCUGGACGGUAACUGACGCUGAGACGCGAAAGCGUGGGGAGCAAACAGG